Long non-coding RNA from Vespula vulgaris, 4802 nucleotides. RefSeq lists it as uncharacterized. Lineage: Eukaryota; Metazoa; Arthropoda; Insecta; Hymenoptera; Vespidae. The transcript is spliced from 16 exons. The record is from RefSeq and is a predicted model, not a curated record.
UCCCCAUGACAUUUCGGCUCUUUCUAUCGUGUAAUACGUGGUAUAGAUUAACCUACGUAAAUUGUAUUAACUCUUUACACGGAGGUCCGUUUCGCAAAUUAGCUUGAUCUUCCAACGUAACGAUUUAGGGAAGAAUGUCGCUUGUAGAAGUCAUUCUUUCAAUAAUUUUUGAACAAUUAAUACACAAGUAAGUGCUAAAUAAUCGCCUGUAUACUUCAUACGAUCCAAAGGAAACGUCCACGCAGUCCAAACGAUAUAAACAAUCUCUUCAUUCUCCCUAGUCUUUUGUUUAUGUUAUCAACAUAAGGAGAAGGUACUUUGUAUCGAUUAAAAAGAGAUAUAAGAGAUGAAGCGGAGGCGAAAGCAGUUCCAAUAGUGCAGAAGUAUUGCAAAGGAGCAGAAUUAACCGAUAUCUGAAUUCUAAUUAAUUCCAAAGAAGAUACACGGAUUUCAACAAUGCUGAACAUGACAAUUAAACAUUCGACAUCCGAAUUAAAACAAAUUUACAUUGGCACUUCCUGUUGUUCCAUACAAACAGACGAUAGGUCCUACGUGGAUAAUACAAAUGUCCAACCAUCGACCAGAUUAGGAAAUAAAAACGUUUUCCUCUUUUCUAGUCUCAUAUUUAAAUGGUAAAUCGAUCAGUGCUGUGUUUAUAGAACGAUUUUAUGAUGGCGACGGGAGUAUUUCUAUUGAUAAGUGGGACAUUAGAUCUCUUAACUCUAGCUAUCCUGAAGCUACUCCAUUAGUGCAUAUAAAUCAAGAAACAUAUAUUUUUCGUAUAUUUUUCAACUAGCCUAAUGAAGAAUAUUAGAUAUGGGAGGCAAGAUACUCAAUGAAGCAGAACAGAUCGUAAAAGCGGCGGUAGAAGCUGAUGCUUCUCACGAAUUUAUUACAAAUCUUCCAAGUGAAAUGAAAUCCAAGUUGGCGAGAGAGGCACCUAAUUAUCUGGUGUAUGGAAACAAGUUGUUGCUAUUGCUAGGGCGUUACUAUAGCAACCAUCGACUUUAAUAUUGGAUUUUAAUAAACGAGUUAUUGUUACAGUUUAUCGGCAGCGACAUGAUGGUUUAUAUUAGGACGAAUUCAAGAAAAGGAAAAGGAAAUAUACAUCCAUAUAUCUCAUGUGUGGAGAACAAAUAUCGAAUUACAUGUCAUCGGUCGCAUAUAUUGUAUCUAACAUAAUCAACGACCUACAAAACUUUCUUAAUGCUUCGUGGGGAUCUAUAAAUCAAUAUCCUGCAUCAAAAAGCAAGAAAUUUCGCUUUUAAACGUCCUUCUUUUCUUUAAAUGAUCCGUAAUAACAUAUUACAUAUCGUGUUCAUUAUGUGAUGAAGAAUACCCAGAAAGAGGAAGAAGAAAACAAAAUUUAUAAUGGCGAUGACGACGGACCUUGGCGAGUCUUAAAUUGCUCCGUUUUACAAAACUACAUUCGAGUGGCGGUACGAGGAGAUGGACUGUAUCUCAUUGAAAGGAUCCAAAGAUAAGCGGCUUUAGGAAGAGGAUAUAAUCGAGUGUGUCGAGAUAGAUUUAUCGAAGGGCUGUUCGAUGUUGCAAACGGAAUCUGUCAUCAAAGUGAAAUUGAAAUGAGCUAGAAAAGAUGAAACGGAGUUGAAAGCAGUUCCAAUAUUCUAGAAGUAUCGAGAAAGAGCAGAAUUAGGAAUUAGGGAUCCAUAUCUGAGUUCUAAUUAUUUGCAAAGAAGAUAAGUAUUUCAAUAGCAAUUAACGUGAUAAUUAUAUAUUCGACGUCCGAAAUGAAACAUAUUUACAUUGGCACUUCCUGUUCUUCUUACAUCAGACGAUACGUUCUACAUGGAUAGCACAAAUCUCCGACCAUCAACCAAAUAAGGAUGUGAAAACGUUUUCCUUUUUAGUCUUAUAUCUUGAGCAGUAAAUCAAUGAAUGCUGUGUUUAUGGAAUGGUAACAUAUUUUAGCGAUUUUAUGAUGGCGACGAGAGUAUUUCUGUUGGAAUUUUACGUUACAUAUCGUUCGUCACUUAAUGUAUCAGAUUGUAUACGCGACGGAAGAAGCCGAUGAUGCUCACGAAUUUGUUACAAAUCUUCCAAGUGAUAUGAUACUUUAAGUUGGUGAGAGAGGCACUUAAUUAUCCGGUGUAUGGAAACAACCUGUUGCUACUGCUUGGGCUUUACUGUAGCACUUAUUUUAACAUUGGAUUUUAAUAAACAAGAAUUGGAUUGUGAAAACAGAAGAGUAGUUCAAGAAACAAAAGAAUGAACAUUGUUAGGGACUGCUCAUAGAUUAAAUGCUCUGAAAUCUUCCGAUGUUGAUGUUCUGCAACGUGAUGUUGCUAUAAAGUGUUUUGUAGUAAUCCAUCGGCGGUGGUGACGCUCUAAAUUGUAGCUCGAAUUUAAAAAAUGAACAGAAAGAAAUGACGACGAAGUUUGGGAAGACCAAUGUGGCGCUGUUUUAUAAAGCUUGGAAGGGUGGUACGAGGAAAUGUUAUUUAUUUUCAUCAAAGGAUUCAAACGGAGCGAUCGAUAAAAUGGAAGCAGCAGCCGCUUUUGCAAUACGCAGUUAUUCGAAAUGGAUUAUAUCAUAUGGCGAUUAGAAAGGGACAAUAAUAAUAUGUCGAAUUGAAAGAUGUUCGUCGAGUCCCAAUCCAUAUCCAUUGAAGCCUUUUCGAUUGGUUCGAUCGCGUAAUAGGAAAUUUUGAUCGACUUGUGUAAAUCGUGUUCAAAUGAAAUACAUAACAGAGAAAAAGAUGAUAUUACGAAAAAAAAGAAUAUGACAAUUGGUCACUAAAUCGAUUUUCUUUACUACGGCGUUAUAAAAAAGAGAGAUGUGUAAAAAAAAAUUGAGCGUUAACUUAAGUAACAGAAGAAGAACAGGAAGUAAUAUUACAAAAAAAAAUGAUCAAACAACGAUUUUUGCUCAAAAUUAAUUCUUAUCGGUACAUAUUUUUAACGACAAGAACGGGAACAAAAUUAUUGAUCAAUUUUUAAAAUUCUUUAGCUACCUUCUAAUUUUAAAUUGUAAAGGACAGAAAGGUAGAGAAAAGAAGGAACGGAAGAGGAACAUAGGAGAAAAAGAAUAAUGAUACAUCUAAUUAAUAAAGAUCAAUAAAGCAUUUCAUUUCCUCACAGCUUAUAACCUUUCGAUACAAUUAGAUUUUCUCGGAUCUUUCGACCGUAUAAUAGUAAAAAUUAAUCAAUCCACAUCAAGCUUGAAAACACUUUGCAGAGAGCGCCCUCGUGGUCGCUCGGUUAACCUCCCAAAACGAUGUGGAGGGGAUGAUGACCGCAAGUCACAGAACGGUGACAUAGCUUCGUAUCAUUCCUUCGGUGAUCUUCGAAACAGUAAUGUGCAAGGGAGUAUCGUACGGUAAAUAAUCUUUAUCCGUAGACAUCAUACAUCUCAAGUGGUAUCUUUACAAGUAGUUCAAGCGGUGGAAACAAUUUCUUCGUUCUCACUAGUCAGUUAUUUAUGUCAUCAAUAUAAGGAAUACGAAACGAAAUAAAGACGGGUGCCGUUCUCGCAGCCCGGAAGUACUGCAAAGAAACCGAAUUGACGGAUAUGUGACAUAUGAAUAUUUCCGAGGAAAAUAUGCCAUUUCAACUACACUGAACGUGUAAAUUAAACAUCCGACAUCCGAAAUAAAACUGUUUUAGUUACUUUGUCACCUCCUGUUCUUCCGAUGAUACAUCUUACAUGAUUUUAUGAAGUCGGCGAGGUUGUUAUAUUGAUAAUUGAAUUCAUUUGAAAUCUUCCACGUUGACGAGAAUCUUCUAAAAUUGGCGGGAGAAUAAUAUACAUAAUUACCUGUUUUAUGCAGAAAACGUGACACCAUAGGUACGCCAUUAUUAUAACAAUCAUCGAUCUUAAUAUUGGAUUUUAAUAAACAAGCACAUUGGAUUGUCAGAAGAGUGGUUCGAAAAGUCGUUGGAAAAUUUAUUCAAAGAAAGUGCACCGUUUCUUGUUACUGAGAGAUGAUAUACUUUUCAAUGUCUCCAUAUCGAUGUAUUGCAACAUAAUUUUACCAUAGAGGACGUAUUACCGGAUGAGGAUCAACGAAAAACAAAUUUAAAUAUGUUGCACUUGGAUCAUCGAAUAUUUAAUUAUCACGCCAAGCGUACGCGAAAACCUGUAUUUUCCCUGGAAGUAUUAUAUUUCAGAUAUGGGUCAAUUCAGCUUCUUUGCUGUCAUUUUCAGGUGUUGGAAUUGCUUCCGCCUUUAAUUCAUGUCGUAUCUCUAAAAUAAUGUAUCUAAAAUUCGUGUAUCCCUCAAUAUUCGUACAAUGGUUAAGACUUAAUUAAGUCAUUCGUUCAUUUCAAUUGUAUAAUUAUCGAAAAUAAAUCAGGGAAUGCCAUUUAAAUGCUACAGGAACUUUUCCGAUACACGACAAAAUAAUAAUUAAAAUAAUAUAAAUCAAGAAAAUCAUUUUCCAUUCCAAAAUAUAGAAAUGAAAUUUUACAAUAAAUCUUAUAGUAAUGAGUACUGCUAAAUUUUAAAAAUAUUGAUGGAAUAAACGAAUGACUAGUGUGAAUGAUGAAAUUGUUUGCGUCGUUUGAAUUAUUUGUAAAGGUAUCAUUUGAGAUGUAUGAUGUCUAUGGAUAGGGAUUAUUUUACGUACGGCUCUCACUUGCAUAUUACUGUUUCCAAAAUCACCGAAGGAAUGAUGACUCCCCAAAUUAAAAGAGUCCUCCCAUUAGAGGACCAUGCUUCCUAGAUUUUAUAUCUCUAGCUAGAACGGUAAAUAAUUUCUUCUAUUAAUUCCAAUUAUUGUAAUUAAUAACAUUAUAUUGAAUUGAUUGCAAUAAAGUGAUUCGUUAAUUCCUAUACGAAA